Molecule: non-coding RNA, 97 nt
Organism: Paraglaciecola sp.
Lineage: Bacteria; Pseudomonadati; Pseudomonadota; Gammaproteobacteria; Alteromonadales; Alteromonadaceae
Rfam family: Bacterial small signal recognition particle RNA
About the family: The signal recognition particle (SRP) is a universally conserved ribonucleoprotein involved in the co-translational targeting of proteins to membranes. Archaeal SRP consists of a 7S RNA and homologues of the eukaryotic SRP19 and SRP54 proteins.
Source: Rfam
UUUCGGUCCCCUCGCAAUGAUAGUUUGUGAACCCGGUCAGGCCUGGAAGGGAGCAGCCGCAGCAAAGGACUCAUGUGCCGAGGUGUGGCUGAAGGGU